RNAcentral lists this unclassified non-coding RNA (316 nucleotides) under fungal sp. RNAcentral's name for it is "partial internal transcribed spacer region". The stretch from base 1 to 46 matches the Rfam family "Eukaryotic small subunit ribosomal RNA", at positions 1786 to 1831 of the family's 1831-position model. Lineage: Eukaryota; Fungi. The record is from RNAcentral.
AAGUCGUAACAAGGUUUCCGUAGGUGAACCUGCGGAAGGAUCAUUAUCACGUAUCCACGUAUAAACCAUUGUGAACCGUUUCCCACCUCCGCUGGCGCAGCAAGGUAGCAUUUUGAUAAAACUAGUUUUUGGACGUAACAGUUCAAUCUUACCACCUUCAUAAUGCUCGCUUCCUGCCGCUACGGAGCGUACUCACUUUAUUAACCAUUUUAACCAAUCUUUAUAACUUUAUGAACUAACUUUAUUUUAUACUCUUCGGAGAUAAAAUUCAUUACGAAACAAAGAACAACUCUUAGCAACGGAUAUCUUGGUUCUC